GACGAACGCUGGCGGCGUGCUUAACACAUGCAAGUCGAACGGAAAGGCCCUGCUUUUGUGGGGUGCUCGAGUGGCGAACGGGUGAGUAACACGUGAGUAACCUGCCCUUGACUUUGGGAUAACUUCAGGAAACUGGGGCUAAUACCGGAUAGGAGCUCCUGCUGCAUGGUGGGGGUUGGAAAGUUUCGGCGGUUGGGGAUGGACUCGCGGCUUAUCAGCUUGUUGGUGGGGUAGUGGCUUACCAAGGCUUUGACGGGUAGCCGGCCUGAGAGGGUGACCGGCCACAUUGGGACUGAGAUACGGCCCAGACUCCUACGGGAGGCAGCAGUGGGGAAUAUUGCACAAUGGGCGGAAGCCUGAUGCAGCAACGCCGCGUGCGGGAUGACGGCCUUCGGGUUGUAAACCGCUUUCGCCUGUGACGAAGCGUGAGUGACGGUAAUGGGUAAAGAAGCACCGGCUAACUACGUGCCAGCAGCCGCGGUGAUACGUAGGGUGCGAGUGUUGUCCGGAUUUAUUGGGCGUAAAGGGCUCGUAGGUGGUUGAUCGCGUCGGAAGUGUAAUCUUGGGGCUUAACCCUGAGCGUGCUUUCGAUACGGGUUGACUUGAGGAAGGUAGGGGAGAAUGGAAUUCCUGGUGGAGCGGUGGAAUGCGCAGAUAUCAGGAGGAACACCAGUGGCGAAGGCGGUUCUCUGGGCCUUUCCUGACGCUGAGGAGCGAAAGCGUGGGGAGCGAACAGGCUUAGAUACCCUGGUAGUCCACGCUGUAAACGGUGGGUACUAGGUGUGGGGUCCAUUCCACGGGUUCCGUGCCGUAGCUAACGCUUUAAGUACCCCGCCUGGGGAGUACGGCCGCAAGGCUAAAACUCAAAGGAAUUGACGGGGCCCCGCACAAGCGGCGGAGCAUGCGGAUUAAUUCGAUGCAACGCGUAGAACCUUACCUGGGUUUGACAUGGAUCGGGAGCGCUCAGAGAUGGGUGUGCCUCUUUUGGGGUCGGUUCACAGGUGGUGCAUGGCUGUCGUCAGCUCGUGUCGUGAGAUGUUGGGUUAAGUCCCGCAACGAGCGCAACCCUUGUUCACUGUUGCCAGCACGUUAUGGUGGGGACUCAGUGGAGACCGCCGGGGUCAACUCGGAGGAGGGUGGGGAUGACGUCAAGUCAUCAUGCCCCUUAUGUCCAGGGCUUCACGCAUGCUACAAUGGCUGGUACAGAGAGUGGCGAGCCUGUGAGGGUGAGCGAAUCUCGGAAAGCCGGUCUCAGUUCGGAUUGGGGUCUGCAACUCGACCUCAUGAAGUCGGAGUCGCUAGUAAUCGCAGAUCAGCAACGCUGCGGUGAAUACGUUCCCGGGGCU
Molecule: ribosomal RNA, 1346 nt
Filed under: uncultured bacterium
Lineage: Bacteria
Description: bacterial SSU rRNA
Rfam family: Bacterial small subunit ribosomal RNA
Source: RNAcentral